This 253-nucleotide ribosomal RNA is filed under the name uncultured bacterium. Its description in RNAcentral is "partial 16S ribosomal RNA". It matches the Rfam family "Bacterial small subunit ribosomal RNA", at positions 524 to 776 of the family's 1533-position model. The record is from RNAcentral.
GACGUAGGGCGCGAGCGUUGUCCGGAUUUAUUGGGCGUAAAGAGCUCGUAGGCGGCUCAUUGCGUCAACCGUGAAAACCAGCAGCUCAACUGUUGGCUUGCGGUUGAUACUGAAGAUCUUGAGUUCGGGAGAGGUGAGUGGAACUGCGAGUGUAGAGGUGAAAUUCGUAGAUAUUCGCAAGAACACCAGUGGCGAAGGCGGUCGACUGGGCCAGUACUGACGCUGAGGCGCGACAGCGUGGGGAGCAAACAGG